This 465-nucleotide ribosomal RNA is filed under the name Vreelandella stevensii. RNAcentral's name for it is "partial 16S ribosomal RNA". It matches the Rfam family "Bacterial small subunit ribosomal RNA", at positions 338 to 795 of the family's 1533-position model. The record is from RNAcentral. Lineage: Bacteria; Pseudomonadati; Pseudomonadota; Gammaproteobacteria; Oceanospirillales; Halomonadaceae.
CCUACGGGGGGCUGCAGUGGGGAAUAUUGGACAAUGGGGGGAACCCUGAUCCAGCCAUGCCGCGUGGGUGAAGAAGGCCCUCGGGUUGUAAAGCACUUUCAGUGAGGAAGAACGCCUGGUGGUUAAUACCCAUCAGGAAAGACAUCACUCACAGAAGAAGCACCGGCUAACUCCGUGCCAGCAGCCGCGGUAAUACGGAGGGUGCGAGCGUUAAUCGGAAUUACUGGGCGUAAAGCGCGCGUAGGUGGCUUGAUAAGCCGGUUGUGAAAGCCCCGGGCUCAACCUGGGAACGGCAUCCGGAACUGUCAAGCUAGAGUGCAGGAGAGGAAGGUAGAAUUCCCGGUGUAGCGGUGAAAUGCGUAGAGAUCGGGAGGAAUACCAGUGGCGAAGGCGGCCUUCUGGACUGACACUGACACUGAGGUGCGAAAGCGUGGGUAGCAAACAGGAUUAGAUACCCUUGUAGUC